This 2620-nucleotide unclassified non-coding RNA is filed under the name Lytechinus variegatus (green sea urchin). RNAcentral describes it as "uncharacterized LOC121421886, transcript variant X3". The record is from RNAcentral. Lineage: Eukaryota; Metazoa; Echinodermata; Echinoidea; Temnopleuroida; Toxopneustidae.
GAACUAAGUGUAUUUGUAUCAGAAAAUCUAUUUUGAUAUAUAAGAAUGUGUCGCAUAGCUGUGCAAGAGGCGAAUGCAAGCCCAUGUUGUGCCGCCUAGAGUGUGAUUUUGGUGCCAUGGCUGACCGAAAGGAGUGAGUGGGCGUGGUGGCCGUGGGUGUGGUACUUGAUGCAUGUAUGUUAUUGUUAAACCCAUUGAAAUUAGUUGUAGGUGAUAAGUUGUGCGUUUGAUUUCUGCAUGAAUUAUGUGUACUGAUGAUAAAUUAAUGAUAAUUUCAACUUAAUAUUUCAAGAAAAAAAAAACAGGCGGGAGUUAAAGCAUGUUUAAUUCCAGCCUCAUUUUUUUUCAUGGUGUACAAGCACAGACCAUGCAUUGACUGCUGCCUGGUACUGGUAUUAAAAUGAAUAGAUACAUGACUAUGUCUAUAUUCUGUUGUUUUGUGUCAUCAUAUCAAUAAGCUGUCUCAUCAAUUCACAUGAUGUACACAAUAAUGGGUCCCUGUUUUAUUAUGUUUACUAGGAGGGAGAUUAUUUUGUAAAUGUGAUUUUAAAUGUAGUAGAAAUUCAGAUAAUGUCAGAGACUUGCUUUUUAACUUUCCAAUAUAUUUAAUGUUAAUAUAUUCUAUAAUUCUAAGCAGUGGAGUACAUUUCUAGCUACUGUUGCAGCUCCAGCUGUCUGAUCUCGCAUUCUCGGAUCUGCAAACAAGUUUGAGACAUCAUGUCUGAUGAGGAAUGUGCACAGAGGUUGCCAUCAUCAUCACCGGUAUCUUCACCAUCUUCAAUCUUUGAAUGUGCACAGAGGUUGCCAUCAUCAUCACCGGUAUCUUCACCAGUAUCUUCAGUGACCGAAUGUGGACAGAACUCCCCAGAUUCCAUCCCAUCUUCCCCAACAAUUAUACCAACAACUCCCAAGGCACCAGCUUCUACUGCUCGAGGUUAUUCAUCUUUUUCUUCUCCCCCAGGAUCAGGUUGGGAGUCAGCUAGCUCUUCACAUUUGGAGGACGGAGGAAACUAUCUGUACUGGUACACGAAGGACAACACACUAAAGAGGAAGCGGGUGUCCCUGUCACCUGUUCCAAUAUAUGUAACAAUGGCAGCUGGUGAAGUAAAAAAACGGGACAUUGUUGAUAGACUGGCUAAAGGAUCAUGUGAUGACGUUGUGAAAUGGUUGCUUGGUGGACAGACAAAUGAAAAUGUUAGCAUCCUGAAACAGAAAGUGAAGAGGGUGAAUGUGAAAUACAAAAAACUUCUGAAAAGCCAGCACAGAAAAACAGGAAAGGAAGCAAUAGAUACAUUUUUAGAAGAGACUUUUAGAUAUGGGAUUGAACGACAACAACAAGAACAGGAGCCAGAGGCACACACAUCCACCCUCGAGGGUGAACUUCGUAGAUUACACACUCCAUCCACGCAUGAAAUUUUGGUGGAGACAGUUCAGAGUGACAUGAAAAGAAAAGAUGAGAGAAUACAAGAAUUAGAAGAACGAGUGAAGCAACUCAAUAUCGAGAUGGAAAAUAAAAAUAAAGAGAUGGAAAAUACAAAUAGAGAGCGAGAAACUCUAAUGAGGAGAAUACGUGCGAAAAACUUGCAACUGAAAAGAGAAAGGGGAAAGCACAAGUAUUAUAGAGAGAAAUGUUCUGAACUUGAAAAGACACAACCAGAGUAUACUGAGGAAGUUACUCAGCAGGAGUCGGCUGACACAGAAGAUAUAGAAGAUAUUAGGAAGGAAGUUAUUGAAAUGGAAUAUAGAAUUUAUGUUCUGCAGGAAGAGGUAACCUCUGAUACAGUAGAACUAUACGACGAAGACAAUAAAGAGUUUACCCCACAAACACAACGGUGUGUUCAAAGUUUAUUGACUGAAAAUGUUGGAAUAAAUCAUGUGGGAAACGUAAUCAGAGAAGUUCUGAAACUUGUGGACAAAAAACCAAACAGAGUGCCCAGUCAUUCAACGAUUCGAAAUAUGAACUUACAGCGGCUUGUAAUCGCACAGAAGCAAAUUGCUGAGGAGGACCUUAGAGCAGGGGACUUGGUCGUGGAGGAGGAGGAAGACUAAAGCCAUUAUAACAAGGGUGGAUUGCCAGAAGAGGGAUGAACGGAUACUGUUCUUGUCAUCUUGCCGAACGUAAAGGACCCAUUAACUUUUCAACGGAGGCAAGGAAACUGUGAAGGCUGUGAAAACACUGGUUGAAUUUUACAUUUGCAGUCAUGUCACUGAGUGUAAACAUGGAUACACCCCCUUAUCUGGUUCUAACCAUCUUCCAAGCAGAGGUGAGAGAGAUAGUCUACCAAAGAUGACACCAAUCUUCAAGACUUCAUCUACACGGAAUGUCUGGCGUGAAGGUCUUUGCUGAAGUAUGGUCAACAUAAGAAUGGAUUUGACACCAAACUCUUCAUAUCCACCCUUCAUCUUGUGUUAAUGAGGUUCCUAGUAUUCAUGAUAGAGAUAGUUUACAGGGAUAUUCUCUUGACACCAGUCAUUAUCUACAUUCUGUCUGGUCUUAGCCUUAUUUCAACUGGGCUUUUAAACAUUUUUCUGUUAUACAUGUAGAGUGUAGAUGAUGUUUGGUGUUAAGUGUAUGGCUAUGUGGAUUUAUAUUCCCAAGAAUGUCUAGAAUAUGAUUAAA